RNAcentral lists this ribosomal RNA (301 nucleotides) under uncultured bacterium. RNAcentral describes it as "partial 16S ribosomal RNA". It matches the Rfam family "Bacterial small subunit ribosomal RNA", at positions 509 to 807 of the family's 1533-position model. The record is from RNAcentral.
CAGUCGCCGCGGGAAUACGUAGGGUGCAAGCGUUAAUCGGAUUUACUGGGCGUAAAGCGUGCGUAGGCGGCUUCUUAAGUCGGAUGUGAAAUCCCUGAGCUUAACUUAGGAAUUGCAUUCGAUACUGGGAAGCUAGAGUAUGGGAGAGGAUGGUAGAAUUCCAGGUGUAGCGGUGAAAUGCGUAGAGAUCUGGAGGAAUACCGAUGGCGAAGGCAGCCAUCUGGCCUAAUACUGACGCUGAGGUACGAAAGCAUGGGGAGCAAACAGGAUUAGAUACCCCAGUAGUCCCUGUCUCUUAUAC